Molecule: long non-coding RNA, 276 nt
Filed under: Elaeis guineensis (African oil palm)
Lineage: Eukaryota; Viridiplantae; Streptophyta; Magnoliopsida; Arecales; Arecaceae
Description: long non-coding RNA (EGUI_LNC057560)
Source: RNAcentral
ACCAUCUAGAGUUUGAUUUUAUACUCUAACACAUGAAAAAAUCAAAUCCUAAGUCAAGCAGCCCUCACUUGUCUUUUUCUUUCUUCUUCUCUCUCUUUCUAUUUUUUCUCUCUUCUUUUUCUUAAUUUUUUUCAAAACUUUUUGGCAUAAUCCUCACUUAUCCCAUGCCUAAAUGCCAGGAUAUCUACUUUAAAAUCCAUAGGGGGCAUUCUCUAUAAAUAGGAAAUGAAGAGGUGCAUGGGUCUCCCAAGAGGCGCCAUCUCUUGGUGCUCCACC